Molecule: non-coding RNA, 214 nt
Filed under: Tiarina fusus
Lineage: Eukaryota; Ciliophora; Prostomatea; Prorodontida; Colepidae
Source: RNAcentral
GUUUGCUGGUUUGAUUGUAUCGGCUGUGUUGUUUUUUUUAUCCUUUACAUUUUCGUUUUUCUUGGUCUCAUUAUCUUUUUCCGUAGUGGAUUCUUUUUUGGUGUUAUCUUUAUCUCCUGUUUCCGUUUCCUGGUUCGUAUUCUCGGUUUCUUCUGAAGGUGCGAAGAAAUAUCCCAAAACCAGGAAAAGGACAACUACUACACCAACAGUACUA